GAAUUUUACUAGGUCAGGACAAUGUAUGGAUUUACAGAUUGAGAGCUCUUUCUCGAUCCGUUGUGUGUUGGUGCAUGGCCGCUCCUGGUUGGUGGAGUGAUUUGUCUGGUUGAUUCCGUUAACGAACGAGAUCUCGACCCUUAAAUAGGUCUCUCGUCGACUGUAGUCUUGCGGGUGCUAGCUCGCUGGAUAACCCCGGGACGAGACUGGGGGGAAACUUCUUAAGGGGACUGUGUGCGUAUAUAGCACGCGGAGGAGCGAGCCAAUAGCAGGUCUGUGAUGCUGCUAAAUGUCCUAGGCUGCACGCGCACUACACUGAUGCAAUAAACGAGUCUGAGUGCCUCCUGGCAACCUACCUGGAAGCGGGUGGGAAAUCUUUUGAACUUGCAUCGUGAUGAGGAUAGACGAUUGCAAUUAUUCUCCUUGAAUGAGGAAUGCCUAGUAGGCACAAGUCAUCAGCUUGUACUGAUUACGUCCCUGCCAUUUGUACACACCGCCCGUCGUUGCUACUGAUUGGCUGUAGGGUAGAGAUGGGCGGAUCUCGAGCAGUUGGGGCGACCUUUCUGUUUGGGAGAAACCUAUCAAUAUUCUGCAGCUAGAAGAAGCAAAAGUCGUAACAAGGUUGCUGUAGGUGAACCUGCAGCAGGAUCAUUACCAAA
This 659-nucleotide ribosomal RNA is filed under the name Dehalococcoidia bacterium. Its description in RNAcentral is "bacterial SSU rRNA". It matches the Rfam family "Eukaryotic small subunit ribosomal RNA", at positions 1210 to 1831 of the family's 1831-position model. Lineage: Bacteria; Bacillati; Chloroflexota; Dehalococcoidia. The record is from RNAcentral.